AAUAAAUAACACAAAUAUACAAACACACAAAUAAAUAAAUACAAACAAACAAGUAAGUCAAACCAACAAAUAGAUGA
RNAcentral lists this non-coding RNA (77 nucleotides) under Cryptomonas paramaecium. Lineage: Eukaryota; Cryptophyceae; Cryptomonadales; Cryptomonadaceae. The record is from RNAcentral.